RNAcentral lists this transfer RNA (72 nucleotides) under Chthoniobacterales bacterium. Its description in RNAcentral is "tRNA-Cys". It matches the Rfam family "tRNA". From Rfam's summary of the family: Transfer RNA (tRNA) molecules are approximately 80 nucleotides in length. Lineage: Bacteria; Pseudomonadati; Verrucomicrobiota; Spartobacteria; Chthoniobacterales. The record is from RNAcentral.
GGCGGGCUCGCCACGUGUGGUGGCAGCGGUCUGCAAAACCGCAAACCGUGGGUUGGAUUCCCGCCCCCGCCU